Molecule: ribosomal RNA, 253 nt
Filed under: uncultured bacterium
Lineage: Bacteria
Description: partial 16S ribosomal RNA
Rfam family: Bacterial small subunit ribosomal RNA
Source: RNAcentral
UACGGAGGGUGCAAGCGUUAUCCGGAAUCACUGGGUUUAAAGGGUGCGUAGGCGGACUGAUAAGUCAGAGGUGAAAGACUUGCGCUAAACGGAAGGAUUGCCUUUGAUACUGUUAGUCUUGAAUGAGGUUGAGGUGUGCAGAAUGUGACAUGUAGCGGUGAAAUGCAUAGAUAUGUCAUAGAAUACCAAUUGCGAAGGCAGCACACUGGACCUAUAUUGACGCUGAGGCACGAAAGCGUGGGUAGCGAACAGG